UAGCUCAGUUGGUAGAGCAUGGUGUUUGCAAUGGAUGGUGUUUGCAACGCCAGGGUUGUGGGUUCAAUUCCCAC
RNAcentral lists this transfer RNA (74 nucleotides) under Salmo salar (Atlantic salmon). It matches the Rfam family "tRNA", at positions 8 to 63 of the family's 71-position model. From Rfam's summary of the family: Transfer RNA (tRNA) molecules are approximately 80 nucleotides in length. Their secondary structure includes four short double-helical elements and three loops (D, anti-codon, and T loops). Further hydrogen bonds mediate the characteristic L-shaped molecular structure. tRNAs have two regions of fundamental functional importance: the anti-codon, which is responsible for specific mRNA codon recognition, and the 3' end, to which the tRNAs corresponding amino acid is attached (by aminoacyl-tRNA synthetases). tRNAs cope with the degeneracy of the genetic code in two manners: having more than one tRNA (with a specific anti-codon) for a particular amino acid; and 'wobble' base-pairing, i.e. permitting non-standard base-pairing at the 3rd anti-codon position. Lineage: Eukaryota; Metazoa; Chordata; Actinopteri; Salmoniformes; Salmonidae. The record is from Rfam by way of RNAcentral.